RNAcentral lists this long non-coding RNA (9506 nucleotides) under Oryza brachyantha (malo sina). RNAcentral's name for it is "long non-coding RNA (OBRA_LNC000665)". The record is from RNAcentral. Lineage: Eukaryota; Viridiplantae; Streptophyta; Magnoliopsida; Poales; Poaceae.
GGCAUCAACCUCAACGUCCCCGUCGACCUCACCCUCCUCCUCAACUUCUGCCACAAGACCUGCCCCUCCGACUUCACCUGCCCACUCUAAAUCCAUCCAUCCAUCCCUCCCUUAAUUAUUAUUUAUCUAUAUAUAUUACGUUCGUCCAAUUAAGUGCUGUAUUUUAAUUGUCAUACUCAUGCAUGGACGCAUGUCGUCGGUCGAUCUCUCUCUCUCUCUCUCUGUGUUCAUCAAUCUGUCGAUCGCCAGUGAUCGAUAUUGAUGAUCAGCCCGAUCUCUGUAUCUUGUUAUUUGUAUACGCCAAAUAAAAGUUUCUUCCACUUGUGUUAACUAUAUAUUCAUGCAUCAACAUACUUAGCUAGCUAGCUGCAUGUUUGAAUUGGAUGUGACGAUGAACAUAUAUACAUACGACAUAUAUAACUCUAAGCUUUUUGGAGUACGAGGCAAAUUAAUUAACGACCCCUGUAAUCAUCUCUACAUAUGCAUGCUUACGUACGUAAAAAACAGGCCAGCCAGAUAUAUCGAUCAAAUUGCAUUGCAUAUAAUAUUAGUAGAAAGCACUGUCGAUAUAUUUGCGGAGUUAGAACAAGUAUAAUAGCAAGUUGUAAGCCAACUAAAUGUUGACGUGGAGGAGAGAGAUGAGAAGGAGCGGUAAGGUUAUAGCUAGCUCGGGUAAAAAACCAAGAAACUUUGUAAGAGACAAGUGGGUUAUGUAUUAAUAAUGAAGUGUUAACUACUAUAUGAAUAAACUAAGAGAAGACUAUAAAUAGUCUUAUAACCAGCUAUUGGCUAUACUAUUAAUCUUCCUCUUAUGCGCACACGACUAACUUGUAAGAGAUGCAUGCAAUCAGAACAGAUGUUCUUUUAACUCUGAGAACAGCUGUAGUUAACACAUGCAAGAACUACUUACUUGAUCUGAUUGAAGUAAAUAUACUCCCUCCAAUUUGAUAGUUUUAGUUACGACACGGUAUUUUAAAUUUAUCUUUGAUUGUGAUUUUGUAAUAAAAUACAUAAAAAGUAAAAAAUAUUUACUUUUGUUCUUUAUGACUCAUCUAUACAUAUUGUUUUAGUGUUUCCAAAAUAAAUAUUUUACUAUUAAUUAAUAGUUAAAAUUUUAAAAGUUUAACCAUAUUUUUAUGUAAAACAAUAAGAAUUUAUAGAACUGGAAAGAGGGUACAUAAAGUCUGAAGCACUUACCUAGCUAAAAAUGUACUCACUAUGACUAAAAUGUGAAUAAUGUCGUCAUGCAUCAACGAACCAAAGCUAAAAACACGUACGUCUUCUUAUUAAUUAAGCUCUCUAGCUAGCUACGUGGUUAAUUAAUUUGUGCCAGUUAAAAUACAUAUAUAUUUUCAAUUAAGGUCUUGUUUAGUUUCAAAUUUUUUUCCAAAAACAUCGCAUCGAAUUUUUGGACACCUAAAUAAAAUAUUAAACAUAGAUGAACCAAAAAACUAAUUGCACAGUUAUGUAAAAAAUCUUGAGAUGAAUCUUUUGAGCCUAAUUAGUCCAUGAUUAGCCGUAAGUGCUACAGCAACCAACGUGUGCUAAUGAUGGAUUAAUUAGACUCAAAAGAUUCGUCUCGCAGUAGGUUAGCCGUGAAAUUCAUUUUUUUAUUCGAGUCCGAAAACCCCUUCUGAUAUCUGGUCAAACAUUUGACGUGACACUUUUUUCAAAAAUUUUCUCAAUCUAAACACCAAAGUACGUACUCAUAAAUAUAUGGUUCAGUCUUCAAUAAAAUAUCAAGCUAUACGUACCCAGUCGACGUGUCCCUGGAGGAGAUGCUGGAACAGAAAUAGAUCUGCAGAAAAACGGCAUAUAUUCCGUCGCCACGUUCCAAUAUAUUGCGGAAUAAAGUAAAACAUUCAAAAUAUAAGUAUAUUAUGUGUGUGUGUAUAUAUAUAUAUAUAUAUAUUACUAGCUAAUUUAUACGAGAUCUAUUUAUUUAAAAACUAUAAAUUAAUUGUACAGUAGUGCUUAAUUUUCUAAAAAAAUAUCAUCUGGACAACGUAUUAAUUAUGGAGACAGGUCCAGAAAGUCAAAAAUAAUUUGUACUAAAUAACGAUCACAAGAGCGUUGCUGCAGUCGCUUUUUACUGCAAUGGCAUCGCAGUAGCGGGAACACCGCUCUAUUUAUGGUCUCAAUAGCGGCCGCUAUGACAUGUAUGUAUACGUACUAUAUUCAUUUAUCACGAAGCUAUAUAGUUAUCUAUUAUAAAAAUAUAAGACAUGCAAAUUUGAUAUAAUCUAUAAAAUAAGUCUUUAAUUUCUCAUAUAUCUACUACACUUUUGUAUCCACAAAAUCAUUAUUACAUUCAGAUAUGUUAAUCCAAUAAUACCAUUUCCAUCAAUAAAAUUAAUCCACAUAAAAAUAAAUGUUGGUUAAAUAUUACAAGAGUUGAAUCUUAAGACACAUGCAAGCCCCGUUAUAUUUUUAUUCUUUUCAUCCUAAAAUAUAAUCAUUUCUACGCAUGAUUUAAAUUUUGUACCAUAAUAUAAUUAAGAAUUUUUGCACUGACAUACGAUCUCAAUCAUUCCAACAAAUUCAGAAAAAAAUUCAUAUGCUUAGAAAAAAAUAUAAUCAAUUCAAAAUUUGAUCACUUAAGUACUGAAUCUUUUGACACUGUGUUUAUGCUAAACAACCUAAAUUAAAAUUGAUUAUAGUUUAGAACGGAUAUGUAUAGUAGAGCAAAGGAAGUACGAAGAUGGUCAAUUUGUUCCGAUAAUGUUAUCUUGCACUAGAGGUAUAAAUUACUACUAUUUGACUCUGUGUACGUGCAGUACUGUCUCUGUAUCAUGUACUACAUAUAUGUAAAAUGCAUGAAGUGUCGCUCACUGGUCAGUUCGAUAGAUAGAUGGAUCAUCGCUGAAAAACAAGUAGUCGUGGUCGUCGUUUGGGGCCGAGGAAAAGGCGCAUGGACGGACCGAACUAGCUAAGCUACUAUGCUAGCUGCCGACAAUCGUCCGGGUAGGUGCUUACUGUCCAAAUUCUGAUCAAUCGUCGGUCAUCAACCAUACAAAAAUGACAAAUUAAUGGUGGUGUACAUCAUGAGAUUUAACAAGUUUAAUCAAACAGCAGCUAGCUACACCGAUUUAUAUAUAUAUAUAUCUUGAUAUUAUAUUUAUGUAUAGAGAUAUGGCCACGUACGUAUAUACAGACUGGCACCCCAUGAUCACAUAUCAACUUGUGCAAUGGACUGGAGUGGAGUGGAGUACCAGUAGCACCCCACCACCUGAAAGCUAGCGAUCAGAUAUCGAAUUCAUCUGAGGAAUAAUAUAUAUAUGCAGUUACAGAUCCAUGGAAGAUAUAUAACAAUUUAUAUACUGACAGACGACAGCUAAGGUUGAGUACGUUUGACUGUUUGAGAGGAGAGCAAGGAAGAAGAGAAGGAACAGACGAUGUGAUUCGAUCAUGAUUAAUUAAAUAUAAAUUAUUUUAAUCUUAAAAAUACAGUAAUAACAUAAUUUUUAAAUAAACUUUACACACACAUAUAUAUAUAUAUAUUAAAAAUUAAAGCACUAUCAAUUAAGAAAACAUAUAUACGUUCAGAAAAUUAACGAGCGACUUUUCAUCCAUUUGUUUCACUCAAACCGUGUCUAAAUCAAUGCAGAAAAUGAACAAAGAAAGAGCUAGCUAGCUUUGAUUGGUUUGCGUGUGAAAUCAAGAGAAACAGCAUGUCUCCGAUGCCACAAAAUUAACAAAUUUCAAGACGCUAUGUCUGACCUGACGGACGGACGACGCAUAUAUAUAUUAUAUAUAUAUAUAUAUAUAUAUAUAUAUAUAUAUAUAUAUAUAUAUAUAUAUAUAUAUAUAUAUAUAUAUAUAUAUAUAUAUAUAUAUAUAUAUACUAUCCUACCACCAGGUGUAGCUACUCCCUUCACGUCUAAGGUGCAGAAACACCUAUAUACAUAUUUCUUCUCUCUUCUAACAGAAAGUACAAACUCUAUACGUAUAGCUAUAUCAUUCACAUGAGAUUUAAUAGUGUCCAUAUUUUCUAUUGGGUGGGAGCAGAAACAGUUAUAAAAAUGUUUUUCAUCAUGGACGUGCAGGGAGUAGCUACACCUGAUAGUACGAUCUAAUUUUCAUAUAUAUAUAUACACACACAAGUGUGUGUAUGUGUAGGACCAGAGUGUAUCUAUCUAAGAGUGUAACUGUUUUGUUCGAUCCAUGAAUAUAUCCAUCUGCCUGUGGCCCUGAAUAUAUGCGUGUGCAGAUGGUCGUCGUCGUUCGAUCACCUCGUGACCUUGCUAUAGUCUUUAGCUCACUGCAGCCGGCUUUCUCACAUUUAUUUCUAGUUUUAUGUGGGUGGGAUAUUAUUGAUUAAGGUGCAUUGUUAAUUUACUUGAUUAACAGUACACUAGAUUACUUUUUUGAGAAAUAAAUUUCAUAAAUAUCUUACAACCAGUGGUCUAAAUAUACAGUAAAAUAAUUUUCUUUUUGAUAAACCGUGUUUCUAGGAGUAAUGUGGAUCAAAAAUCUUGACAGAUCGAAAACUGAAAAGAGUACUAUAUAUACUCAUGUAUGUAUAUAAAUGUGCUGGUCAAAAGGAGGGACAGAUGGCGAGCGAGUUACUUGUCGAAUGAAUGAAUGAAAUAGUCAUCGAUCGGCUGAUCGGUGACGUGCAUAAUUAAGCAAGGCAAUGGGUACUAACAUAAAUUAUAAUUGUCACGUCAUGCAUGCAUGAUCGAUCCAUCGUGUAUGGAUGAUGCAAAGAAGAAGAAUAUUACUUUUGUUUUCAUUCGUCCCGUGACUAGCUACUAGCUCCAUCUGCAUUCAUCAUAUCGAUCGUCAUCGAGAGUACGUGCGUAUAUAUAUUUUUUUCAUAUAUACAUGUACUGUAUAUAUGUAUAUGUAUUUAAAUACGUACGUGCCAGCUAUAUAGCCUAUUACGUUUCAGUCCUUUCCCAACCUCACGCUAAUCGAUCUAGCAUAUGAAUUGUACUAACGGCCGGUUAUUAAUUCAUUAAAAAAAUUAUAUAGCGCGCAUUUUAUAUCCAGGAUAUAUAUGAUAGUACAUAGUUAAAUUAAUAGGCCAAUUAGCUUAGGUUGCAUUCGAACGAAUAUCUAAGGAAAUAAUUAAACAUUAAUUCAUGUGUAUGUAUUCGAUGGUGAAUAUUAAUGGGGAUGUCGACCGGUGUAAAUACCGGUACUGCUGCUGGUUGCCUUAACUAACGUGGUGUUUGCUUCUUUAGUCCUAGGAUUAAAAAUUAGUCACUGGACUAAAAUCUUUAGUAGAUAGACUAAAAAUGCAUCAUAUAUAGAAAUUUUGGUUAGAGGGUAGGUGUGAAAGGAAGUUCUAUCUCAAUAAGUACCUAUGCAAGAGACUAAUAGACUAAUACAAUUUUAGUCCAUUUUAGUCCCUUACAUUUGGAUUUUUAGAGACUAAAUGAGACUAAAGUGGAGGGACUAAUGGAUUAGUCACCUAAACCAAACAAUGCCUAAAUGUAUUAAUUUGAACUAGUAUACCCUCUUCGUUUUAAAAUAUAGGGUCUAUAUCGUUUUUUUAGCCAAUGUUUAAAAUUUCCAUUAAUAAUGGAGCUAAUUAAUACAACAUGUGUUUUUGUCAUAUAUGUGGUGCCAUUAGAUUUAUAUUUAAAAAUAUUUCUAUAUGAUGUUCAUAUUUUAUCGUGGUCGAGUACGUUUAGCCUUGAUUUUUUUAAGAAUAUUUCGUGACUAAUUUGUAUUGUAUUUGUGAGGUGUAGAAAGUACACUUCUCUAAUACUCAGAAAUGAUAUAUACAUAAAUAAACACUCAUCAAAAACAGGUUAAUGCGGCUAGCCAGUGUACAUGUGAAUGGCUGAGACGUUUGAGUCAGUUAUAAUGGGUAGCAUGGAUAUACAUUUCAUGCAUACGCCAACCUGACCUGUUAAAAUCACAAGGAAAAAAAAUGUAUUUAUGUCUAUCCAAGUCGUGGGCGGCGACGAACCGGCCGUCAAACAAUUUGCAUAUAUAUUCGAUCGAGAUCUGUAUAUUUUUACUUGCUGAUUAAUUUAAUUUGCUGGCCACACGCGCGCGCGCGCGAGUCAUGCUUGCUGCUAGCUGCAUGUUCUUGCACCACAUAUAUACUAUGCGUUUACUUUGAUAUAUAUGUGUAUAUAUAUAUAUAUAUAUAUAUAUGUGUGUGUGUAUAUGUAUAUAUAUAUAUAUAUAUAUCGAUCAGCUUAAUUUGCAUUUGCUUAUAUACUUUACAGGUACAUAUAUAUACCGUUCUUUACUUCAUUGGCACGCAUGCACCCAUGCAUGAAUAAUGCAAAUAGAUGUAGUAGAUGCGUGCAUAUAUAUUGCCCAUAAGUACGUACUUUCAGUUUAGUUAAUUAUCUAGCCAGACGGACAGGGGUACACAUAUAAACAUGUGUCGACCUGCAUGUAGAUAGUCUUAUACUAUGCAUUGGUUAAACAUAUUGAUUGUUAAUUAUAUUAUGCAGAACGACUACAACUUAACGAUAUUGGAUAAUGGGCCUCAUCGAUUGGGCCAAUUUCCUACCCAACAUAUAUAUAUACGAUCGAGAGGAAAAGGCCAUUACACCUCCCUCAACUAAUGUCUCAGUUUAAUUUUGGUCCCUCAGCCGCAAAGUCUCCCUCAAAUAUUAAAAACUGGUCAUUUUUACCUCCUUGAGUAGUUAAGUUUGGGUACGUAACAAUUUCAUCCUAUGUGGCGUUUAUAACUUUAUGUGGCACAUUAACUUAAUCUUCAUUUGUUGUGGUCUCUAUGCGACGCUUACGUGGCACCAUGGUCAUAUAAUCAAAAUAAAAUAAAAUUAUGAUGAUGGGCCCAAGUUGUUAUUGACAUGCUUCCUUCCCUUCUCCUAUAUAUGUUUUUUCCGUCUCUUUCAUCCUAUUCGAUCUCUCUCUCACACACACACAUAGGAAGACGGUAGCUAAGCCCUAUAUAUAUAUCUCAAAACAAGUGGCCAGUUACAGUCUUACAGAGCAAAUUAAUCUGAAGGCAGGGAGAUAGAUAGCACCAAACAUCAACUUCAAUUCCACGCUGACCCCAUACAUGGUGUGCGCCAUACAUGCACCAAACUAAUAAGGAGCAAGCCAAUUAAGAUGGAUGAUGAGAUCGAUCAGUGCAGUGCAGCUCAUGCCUGGGAGCUGUACGUACGUGGUCUGUCUGUCUAAACGAAGCAGAAAGAGUUUUGCAAGUUCAGCAGCUUAAUUAAUUGUCCACAGGAUAAAGGAUGAAAGCAAGCUCCGGGGUAUGCUCAGCUCUCUGUCUUUCCCCGUCCCCUGUUAAUUUUCUCUUCCUCGAGGGCAGCGGCGGAUCCAGGAAAAAAUCGUAGGGGCUGACCAAACUGGCUAUCAUGUGCGGGUACACCUGUCGCCCGCUGCCGUGCCGCGUGUGCCGGACUCCCUGCCAUGCCAUAUGCCGCUGCCGACCCCUACCGCGUGAAUAUAUAGGCCACUCACCACUCGGCCCGCUCCUACGCGCUCACCGUCGGCUGCCAACUGACGACCAUCUUCGCCGCUCCGUGCAUAUAUCGUCCAUCGCCAGCCGCCUGGGAUUGGGUGGUUGUGAGUGAGGAUUAGGGUAUUGUGGUGGGGAGGGGUGUGGAUUGGGAUGAGAAUGGACGGUUUGGAUGGAAACAGAUGAAAAUGGAUGGCUAAAUGUUGAUGGUUGUGUUUUAAGUAGGCUAGGCAAGGAAACAAAUUUUAAGUGGGCUAGACUUCUUUUCAUAACGGUCCAACUAAUUUUAUCUUCUACCUUCAACCACGAACCGAAGAACUACAUCUCCAUCCCACGAAACCAUGGAGAAAAUUUGUAGGGGGGCUUAGGGGGUCUCCACGGGAUCGGUGCCGGUAGUGGGGGCUGAAGCCCCCCCAGCCCCCAUGCCCCCUCCGCCGCUGCUCAAGGGCAAGUCGCACUCUGUAAAUACUGCUGCCUCUUCUUAAUAUAACUAGACGAUCCAUACCCUGCGCGUUGCUGCUGGCCACUGUAUGGGUAAAACCAUACUUACAGUGAAACAGAAGUAGUGUAGAAUUCUGUAUGAUAAUAAGGAGUAAAGUAGAAUUUGAGACAAAAAAAAAUAUUGAAGAUUUUUAUAUUUGAUAGUGCUGACGGCAUAAUAAUGCAUGAUAACUUUAGCCUUCUAUAGUUUUAUAUCAGGCAAAAAAAGAUAAAUUGUAUUUGCUUGUAAUAUUAGCAUGUAAUUUAUCUAUAUCAUCCUCUGAAUAAAUAACAAUAUUACAUAUUAGCAUAUAUUUUCUAAAAUAAAGCAGUUUGAUGAGUUAGCUACCUGCUCAUUUCAAAGGUCUAUGUGCCGUACAUGCUAUAUACUUUCUCUGAUUUUUUUUAAUUUAGUUUCAUUAAUUUUUAGAUCUACUAUUAAUCAUUCGUCUUAAUCAAUAAUUUCGUGAUAAUAUGCAAAAUCAUAACUCAUGUUUAAUAUGUCUUUAAUGAGAACUAAAUCUUAAUAAAUAGUUAAUAAUUAUGUAAAUCUAGCUUGUAAGUAAGAUAAAUGAUCAAAUCUGUGUAGACAGGAGACCAUGACGAUGACGACGACGACAGCACUCAUUAUUGAUGUAGUAGUAGAAAUAUCGAUCAGAUCGGACCUAGCUAGCACUACUGCAAUGCAUGCAUGGCAGAUCGUCCUUGGCCAGCUAAGGCUAAGCUACCACCAAAAGCCCAAAAGCAAGCUAGCUUACAUACACACACUCUCUCUCGAUGGAUCAAUCACCGGCCUGCAUGCACCUAAUUAUAAUUAAGAUCGAUGAUGAUGAAAUCCUAGUUACUUAAAUUACUAGUCAAUUAGUUAAGCUCAAACUAAUUAAUAAGUGGCCUCCUCCUCCUCCUCCUCCUCCUUCCUAUAUACUAGUAUAAAUAUGAGUGCACUCGCUCCACUUGCUCUGCCACACACCACAGUACGCUACGCUAGCCAACAGAUCGAGCAGGCGGCAUAAUGGCGAAGAAAGCUGGUGUAGUGAUGGGCAUGCUCCUCGCCCUCAACCUCCUCUUCUUCACCUUCUCCGACGCCUGCGGCUACUGCCCUAGUCCCGGCGGAGGAGGUGGAAGUGGAGGCGGAGGGGGUGGUGGUGGCGGAAGCGGAGGGUCAGGGGGAGGCAGCGGCGGCGGAGGGUCAGGAGGCGGAGGAGGGUCAGGAGGCGGCGGAGGGUCAGGUGGAGGCAGCGGCGGCGGCGGAAGCAGUAGUGGGCGUGCCCGAUCGACGCGCUGAAGCUGGGGGUGUGCGCGAACGUGCUGAACGGGCUGAUAAACGUGCAGCUGGGGACGCCGCCGCGGCAGCCGUGCUGCACCCUCAUCCAGGGCCUCGCCGACCUGGAGGCCGCCGUCUGCCUCUGCACGGCGCUGCGUGCCAGCGUCCUCGGCAUCAACCUCAACGUCCCCAUCAACCUCAGCCUCCUCGUCAACUACUGCGGCCGCCGCGUCCCCUCCGGCUUCCAGUGCCCCAACAAUUAAUCAACUACUACAUACUAUAUGCAUGCAUGCAUUUCAAUUCCUCGAUCCGGUUGUUAAUGAUUUCAGUCCCAUAUAUAUGCAUGUAGCUGAAGCU